GACGAACGCUGGCGGCGUGCUUAACACAUGCAAGUCGAACGGAAAGGCCCUGCUUUUGUGGGGCGCUCGAGUGGCGAACGGGUGAGUAACACGUGAGUAACCUGCCCCUGACUUUGGGAUAACUUCAGGAAACUGGGGCUUAUACCGGAUAGGAGCUCCUGCUGCAUGGUGGGGGUAGGAAAGUUUCGGCGGUUGGGGAUGGACUCGCGGCUUAUCUGCUUGUUGGUGGGGUAGUGGCUUACCAAGCGUUUGACGGGUAGCCGGCCUGAGGGGGGGACCGGCCACAUUGGGACUGAGAUACGGCCCAGACUCCUACGGGGGGCAGCGGUGGGAAUUUUGGCACAUUGGGCAGAAGCCUGUGGCGGCAACGCCGGGUGCGGGAUGACGGCCUUCGGUUUGUAAACCGCUUUCGCCUGGGACGAGCCGUUAGUGACGGUAAUGAGUAAAGAAGCACCGGCUAACUACGUG
Molecule: ribosomal RNA, 468 nt
Filed under: uncultured bacterium
Lineage: Bacteria
Description: partial 16S ribosomal RNA
Rfam family: Bacterial small subunit ribosomal RNA
Source: RNAcentral